UUUGAUCCAUUUUUUAGACCAAAUACAUUAAUCAUUCCAUGAAUCUAAAAAGUAAAAUUUUUCUAAUAUUAAGGACCCGAUGGAGUAUCUUAUCAUGUCAAUAUAAGUGUGUACCAAACACAUGAUAAGAUAAAAUAAUAUUAUCUCCUUUCUUAUCAUAUAUACACCAAACAUAUGACAGGAUAAGUGUUUAUCCUGCCACUAUCCUAUCACUAUCCAGCUCCUUAUCAUAUCCUGUCUCUAUCCUAUCCUGCGCACCAAACGAGCCCUUA
This 272-nucleotide long non-coding RNA is filed under the name Trifolium pratense (red clover). Its description in RNAcentral is "long non-coding RNA (TPRA_LNC002778)". Lineage: Eukaryota; Viridiplantae; Streptophyta; Magnoliopsida; Fabales; Fabaceae. The record is from RNAcentral.